This 2480-nucleotide long non-coding RNA is filed under the name Marmota monax (woodchuck). The record is from RNAcentral. Lineage: Eukaryota; Metazoa; Chordata; Mammalia; Rodentia; Sciuridae.
UAUAUGAAAGAAGGCUCUUUUUUUUUUUCUUGCAUCACUGAACAAAUAAAAGGGUGUUAAAAUACAUUUUGGGGGCUGGGGUUGUGGCUUAGAGGUAGAGCGAUAGCACAGCAUGCAUGAGGCACUGGGUUCGAUCCUCAGCACCACAUAAAAAUAAAAUAAAGGUGUUGUGUCCACCUACAACUAAAAAAUAUUUUUCAAAACUACAUUUUGGUGUUCUCUCUCUCUCUCUCUCUCUCUCUCUCUCUGAAUUCCAUCUCUGUCCCCAAGUCUUCUUUCUCCAUCUGCAGCACUUUUCUUUGGAUUCUAAACAAAACUGGAUUUUUGUAGUCUAGCUGUUUCCUCUAAGCUUUCCAGAGUAUUUCUAAAAUGUUCUUCAAGGAGUUUGAUUCCAGUCCUGUAGAGAUAGCCCUAAGUCCAGCAUUGCUAUGACAAAGGCUAAGGGGCUUUCUUGUGCCCCAGACCUGCUGGCUGACAGUUGGAAUUUUUGAUAUAUAUUUUAUUUGACGGUUCCAAUAAUGUGUUUGUCUCCCCUCCCACCCUUACCCCUUGGAGCCAUCUAUUACUUUUAAAACACUUCUUCUGGGUAAACCUUGGUUCAUCCUUGUGAACUGUUUUUGACCUUCCCAGUAGAGUAACCAGCAGCUCUUGAAAGUUAAGAGGAGAAAGAAUUCCACUCCCUCCCUUACCUGUUAACUUUGCUAACUCUCUUCCUAGCUGGGAUCAGCAGAGGAAUGGGGAUUUUUUGUUUGUUUGUUUGUUUGCUAGGAUUUUGUUGUUUGUUGGCUUUUUCCUACUUAGGCUUUCUAUAGAUUUUUCUCCCCACGAUUAAUGACAAUAAAUAACCCUAGAAUUUUUUUUAAUGUGAUGGAAUGGGAUCAUUUAAUUUGCUUUCCUUUUGCCCUGUGUUAUUCCUUAUUUCUCCCAAUUUUAGCGGCUUCAUGAUCUCGCAAAGGGAAGGGUUUCAAUAAAUAGCCCUCUAGCGCUAUCUGGCGGGGCUCCAAACGCGACUUGCUCUCGCUCUCUGUCUUUUCCUCCUUCCCGCGCUCUCAUUCUUCCUCUCCCUCUCUCUUCUCUUCCGCUCUUUCGUAUCACCACCCACCUUCUCUCAUCCUUCAGUCUCUUUUCUAGUUCUUAACCUCUUUUCCAGUGCAGACAGCUUGGAACGACCUAGCCAGGAGCUGAUAACCCUCAUUACUAGGUGGUGAUCUGGCGACGGAACCCUUCCAUGUCUUCCGUUCCCUACCCAGCUUGGAUCACACACGUUCUUUGCUUUUCAAUAACACCUUACUGUUACUAAACUUACUCCUUAAAGUCCCAGAGUGUCGUUUGGCAGUUGUUUGGAGGGGCUUAAAACUACGUUUAUGAAGUUUGCAAGGAAGAAAUAGGAAACUGAAAUCCUGGGCUGGCGGAGCCUAGUUAAGUUUUAGGUCAGCAGGCCAAGUUUCACUGCGUGUCUGAGGAAGGGUCGGAGCUUCACAGGGGUGAGAACAGCGCACCGGCAGGCCUUCCACAGAGUCAGAGUGGGGGUGCAAGCGGCCUCCCACUGCCUCUGCGGAUCCAUACUUCACAAUGGACGCUUGAGUCUGUGUCCUGGACCUGUCGGAUAUUUCCCCCACUUCCUUUAACCAGCUUUAUCCCCUGCAACUCCUCACUCCCAGCAACAAAUUUGGGAAGUGGUGGCAAAGAAAUGUAGAGAGUGGGAAAACUCCCUGAAAAAACCCCCAGGGCAAAGGGAGGGCGAAGGGGGACCCAAGGAGACUUCCUGAAAACCUAGAGAGGGAUGCAGUAUUUGCCAGCAUCCUCCCUCCUUUUUCGGUUGCACUUUUUAUUCGUGGGGUUUUGUUUGUUUGUUGUUUUGUUUUUAAGUAACCUGUAAACACUCAGCAGUGUGGGUGAGGUGAGAGGAAAUAGGGACCAAAGGAGAGAUUCAGUUCGGGAUUAGGUGCUUUAGAAUGAGCACCAGGCUUUAUCUACACUCUUAAAAUUUCCUCCUCCCUCCUCCCCAUCCCGCCUUUACACACACACACACACACACACACACCCUGCACACUCAGCCUUAGAGAAGUCUCCAUUCCUCCCCUUUGAACAAACCUCUUCCGUCUAGUCCUUGAAAGACAGGGAAGGACAUGUGGCCUGAGGGAGAGUUAUGAUUGCAUUUUCUAAGAUUUAGCUUUGACUUUGAAAAUUAAGUGAGAGCCAUAUCCCCAAUACAGACCCUAUAGGUGGCUACUUCAGGUAUGAGGCCUGUGAUUUCUGUGAUUAGUCAAACACUCAUUCCCAAUUCUGAAAUUUGACCGACAGACACAAAAAUGGAAAGGAGGGAGGUGGGUGGCACCAUCUUAGGCUCGGUUUCCCAAGAAUUGCCCCCACUAGUGUAGGAAGAAAUCACAGUUGGGGUGCAAAUAAUUGAGAAAUGUUAUUAGGUCAUCAUUAGCCAAGGUGCGAACAAUUGCAGCCCAUUUUCACUUAAAAUUGAC